Molecule: ribosomal RNA, 422 nt
Filed under: uncultured bacterium
Lineage: Bacteria
Description: bacterial SSU rRNA
Rfam family: Bacterial small subunit ribosomal RNA
Source: RNAcentral
UGAGGAAUAUUGGGCAAUGCCCGCAAGGGUGACCCAGCAACGCCGCGUGGAGGAUGAAUGUCGUAAGAUUGUAAACUCCUGCUAGAGGGGAAGAAUAGUACCGGUUGGACCGGUAUAUGACUGUACCCUCAGAGAAAGCCCCGGCUAACUACGUGCCAGCAGCCGCGGCAAUACGUAGGGGGCAAGCGUUGUCCGGAUUUACUGGGUGUAAAGGGCGCGCAGGCGGGAUAAAAAGUCAGUGGUGAAAUCCUACAGCUUAACUGUAGAACUGCCUUUGAUACUUUUACUCUUCAGUUCGGGAGAGAGAGACGGAAUUCCAGGUGUAGUGGUGAAAUACGUAGAUAUCUGGAAGAACACCAGUUGCGAAGGCGGUCUCUUGGUCCGACACUGACGCUGAGGCGCGAAAGCGUGGGGAGCAAACA